GCAUUGGUGGUUCAGUGGUAGAGUUCUCACCUCCCUUGUAGGAGACCUGGGUUCAGUUCCUGGCCAAUGCA
This 71-nucleotide transfer RNA is filed under the name Loxodonta africana (African savanna elephant). It matches the Rfam family "tRNA". From Rfam's summary of the family: Transfer RNA (tRNA) molecules are approximately 80 nucleotides in length. The record is from Rfam by way of RNAcentral. Lineage: Eukaryota; Metazoa; Chordata; Mammalia; Proboscidea; Elephantidae.